Molecule: ribosomal RNA, 508 nt
Filed under: uncultured bacterium
Lineage: Bacteria
Description: bacterial SSU rRNA
Rfam family: Bacterial small subunit ribosomal RNA
Source: RNAcentral
AGAGUUUGAUUCUGGCUCAGGAUGAACGCUAGCGACAGGCCUAACACAUGCAAGUCGAGGGGCAGCGGGUGCUGCACCGCCGGCGACCGGCGCACGGGUGAGUAACGCGUAUGCGACCUGCCCGCCACCGCGGGAUAGCCUCCCGAAAGGGAGAUUAACACCGCAUGGUCCGGAGCCUAUAAAGGGGUUCCGGCAAACGCGAGGGUGGCGGAUGGGCAUGCGUCCCAUUAGGCAGCAGGCGGGGUAACGGCCCGCCUGGCCGACGAUGGGUAGGGGUCCUGAGAGGGAGGUCCCCCACACUGGUACUGAGACACGGACCAGACUCCUACGGGAGGCAGCAGUGAGGAAUAUUGGUCAAUGGGCGAGAGCCUGAACCAGCCCAUGUCGCGUGCAGGACUACGGCCCUACGGGUCUUAAACUGCUUUUGGCCGGGGAUAAAGGAGGGGACUUGUCCCCUUUUGCAGGUACCGGCCGAAUAAGGAUCGGCUAACUCCGUGCCAGCCGCAGC